This 253-nucleotide ribosomal RNA is filed under the name uncultured bacterium. Its description in RNAcentral is "partial 16S ribosomal RNA". It matches the Rfam family "Bacterial small subunit ribosomal RNA", at positions 524 to 776 of the family's 1533-position model. The record is from RNAcentral.
UACGUAGGGUGCGAGCGUUGUCCGGAAUUACUGGGCGUAAAGAGCUCGUAGGUGGUUUGUCGCGUUGUUCGUGAAAACCGGGGGCUUAACCCCGGGCGUGCAGUGGAUACGGGCCGGCUGGAGGCAGGCAGGGGAGAAUGGAAUUCCCGGUGUAGCGGUGAAAUGCGCAGAUAUCGGGAGGAACACCGGUGGCGAAGGCGGUUCUCUGGACCAUUACUGACGCUGAGGCACGAAAGCUAGGGGAGCAAACAGG